Molecule: ribosomal RNA, 466 nt
Filed under: uncultured bacterium
Lineage: Bacteria
Description: partial 16S ribosomal RNA
Rfam family: Bacterial small subunit ribosomal RNA
Source: RNAcentral
GACGAACGCUGGCGGCGUGCUUAACACAUGCGAGUCGAACGGAAAGGCCCUGCGUUUGUGGUGUGCUCGAGUGGCGAACGGGUGAGUAACACGUGAGUAACCUGCCCUUGACUUUGGGAUAACUUCAGGAAACUGGGGCUAAUACCGGAUAGGAGCUCCUGCUGCAUGGUGGGGGUUGGAAAGUUUCGGCGGUUGGGGAUGGACGCGCGGCUUAUCAGCUUGUUGGUGGGGUAGUGGCUUACCAAGGCUUUGACGGGUAGCCGGCCGGAGCGGGUGCACGGCCCCAUCGGCAACGGGAGGCGGCAGAGGCGAAUACGGGAGGAAGGGGGGGAGCAUAUUCCAGACAGGCCGCGAGCGUGAUGCAGCACCGCCGCGUGCGGGAUGCCGGUCUUCGGGAUGAAAACCGCUUUCGCCUGGGACGAAGGGUGUGAGACGAUCAUGAGUAAAGAAGCAGGGGCUCACUGCG